CCACAUGUUACCUGAGGAUCUGGUUAAAAGGGUAGAUUCUAAUUUAGUAGGUCAUGGGUGGGGCUUGAGGUUAUGCAUUUUCAACAAGCUCCCAGGUGAUGCUGUU
RNAcentral lists this microRNA precursor (106 nucleotides) under Marmota monax (woodchuck). The record is from RNAcentral. Lineage: Eukaryota; Metazoa; Chordata; Mammalia; Rodentia; Sciuridae.